ACUAAAAACCUAGCCCCACCAUUAAAAUAAUUCCCUCCCCCACUUCAUUUUUACACAAUAAAACAUUUUAAUAAUUUAGUAAAGGCGAUAGAAAAAUUUAUUGGAGCUAUAAAAUUAGUACCGUAAGGGAAAAGUGAAAUAGAAAUGAAAUAAAAAUUAAGUACAAAAAAGUAGAGAUACCACCUCGUACCUUUUGCAUCAUGGUUUAACCAGUCAUAAUUAAGCAAAACGAAUUUAAGUUUAACCCCCCGAAACUAGACGAGCUACUUCAAGGCAGCUUAAUGAGCCAACCCGUCUCUGUUGCAAAAGAGUGGGAAGACCUUCAAGUAGAAGUGAAAUACCAAUCGAGUUUAGUGAUAGCUGGUUACCCAAUAAAAGAAUCUUAGUUCUCCCUAAAGCCUACUUAAUUUACAUAAAUAGACCGUUUGCUUUAGAGUUAUUCAAAUAAGGUACAGCCUAUUUGAAACAGGAUACAACCUAAAAUAAUGGGUUAUUUUUUUAUAAUACUAAAGUGGGCCUAAAAGCAGCCACCUCUAAAAUAGCGUCAAAGCUUGUCUUAUUCUACGCACCAAAUUUCUUAAAUAACUUAAAAACCCUUAACCACCAUUGGGUACUUCCAUUCUUUAAUGGAAAUUAUAAUGUUAAAACUAGUAACAAGAAGCAAGCCUUCUCUUAAAUGUAAGUAUAAGCCAGUAAGGAUAGUCCGCUGUCAAUUAACACAUAUGAACUCUAAGUAGCAACAUUACAAGAAAACCCUGCUUAAUUAAUAUGUUAAUCUAACACAAGAACAUUUCAAGAAAGAUUUAAAAAAAAAGAAGGAACUCGGCAAACAUUAACCCCGCCUGUUUAUCAAAAACAUCGCCUCUUGAAUGCAUAUAAGAGGUCCAGCCUGCCCAGUGACUCAGUUCAACGGCCGCGGAAUCCUAACCGUGCGAAGGUAGCGUAAUCACUUGUUCUUUAAAUGGGGACUAGUAUGAACGGCAUCACGAGGGUUAUACUGUCUCCUUUUUUCGAUCAGUGAAACUAAUCUUCCCGUGAAGAAGCGGGAAUUUUAAUAUAAGACGAGAAGACCCUAUGAAGCUUUAAACAAACUAACACCCGCUGUCACUAAAACACCUUCCAGAACAAAAUAAAAAAUACAGCACCAUGAUUAUAAGUUUUAGAUUGGGGUGAUCAUGGAGUAAAAAUAAACCUCCACGUUGAAUGGGUAAUACCCUGAACAAAAAGCUACAACUUUAAGUACUAAUAAAUUAACACUCUUGACCCAAUACCACGAUCAACGAACCAAGUUACUCUAGGGAUAACAGCGCAAUCUACUUUAAGAGCCCCUAUCGACAAGUAGGUUUACGACCUCGAUGUUGGAUCAGGGUAUCCCAGUGGUGUAACCGCUACUAAUGGUUCGUUUGUUCAACGAUUAAAACCCU
This 1424-nucleotide ribosomal RNA is filed under the name Bokermannohyla aff. alvarengai CFBH 5652. RNAcentral's name for it is "partial 16S ribosomal RNA". It matches the Rfam family "Bacterial large subunit ribosomal RNA", at positions 410 to 2597 of the family's 2925-position model. The record is from RNAcentral. Lineage: Eukaryota; Metazoa; Chordata; Amphibia; Anura; Hylidae.